UAAGAGAAUGAUAAUUAAAUCAGUUAACCUGAUUUAAAAAAGAAUUUUAAAUUAAAAAAGAAAUUAAAAAAGCUUUCCUUACUUCCUUCUCUUUUCACAAACCCUCCCUCUCUUAUGCGACAACAAACCCUAAAGGUACUUUCUUCUUCCUUUCUCUCCCGACGACGACGACGAAGCACAGUCUCACCAUAUCUUUCCCAAGGAUAGAGUUUUCAAGGGUCCUCUUCGCCGUUGCCGCCAUCUUCGCAUUCAGUCGUUGUAGCUUUCUCAUCAUCUUCAUCUAUCGACACUUCUUAACCUAUAGGUAUCUCUCUUUUUCUCAGUGUGUAGCUCCCAACUGUUUUUUAUUUCAAUUUUAUGUGUUGAUAUUGUUUUCUAAGCUUCGAUUUGUUUUCUCGUCUAUUUUAUAAUCUAGUUUAGGUUUAGUUUCAAUAAGCAGAGGCGUUUCUGUGCUGCAAUUUAACUUGUUGGGAAAAGAAGAUUUUUAAAAAAGAAAAUAAUAAUAAUACACUUAAAAAACUAAAUUUGAAACCAAAUUUCUUCAAGUCCUUUUCUUUCUUUCUUUGAUUAUUUACACAAAUGAAAAGAACAAGGUUAAUUCAGUUAUAACCAUCCCCUGUUACAUUAUAUGAUUUUCAAUUCAGUGCAAUGUUCAAUUUACAUUGCCAAAUCAAUUAAGAGUUGUUUGUGGGUGUCAAUUUACAUGUGCACUAUAUUAUGAGAGUACUUUUUACUACUCUGCUUUAUUGACUGCUAGGUGUGUUUUACAAGGUGUUAGAAGCUGCUAGAGUAGAUUGAGUUAGAGUGUGUCCUGUAUGUUUUACCACUGAGUAUUUGGUUGUUUAUUGUUUCAAGUUUAGAAGCAUCCUCUACAUUAUUGUUGAGUUCCCUUUUGGAAGUUCACAUUUCUAUUUACUUAACUUGACUCAGUUUGGAUUGCACCAAAAUUCUGGUGUUGUCGCAUUUACAUGGCUAUGUUAAGUACUUGCAGAUUCAAGUAAAUGCCCCUUUUAGGUCCUAAUGUUGUUAUUAAUUCCAAAUAGAUGCUCUGGAAAUUUCCUCCGGAUUCUAUCUUCCUCAUGACAACAUCUACAUUGAUUCAACACAGUAAACAAACUUUGUAUCUGUUAGAAGCCAGACAAGACAAGAACAAACAACCAUAUAUCAUACUCCACUCCUCAGGUGACGGUUCUAUUUUCGCAAUGUCUUUGUUUCUGCCGUACGUGUCAUUGGUUUUUAUGCAGGGACUGUUUUCUACUAGUUUUUCUAUUUCUACUUAUAUGGUGUGUAGUGCUUCUGUUGCUAUUUCGCCCUGUGGUAUAACACUAUGUGUCAAUUCUGUUUUUGCUCUUCUAGUAUAAUAGCUUUUGGGUUGUUUUACUUAUAUUUAGAGCAAGUCAGACUUUGGUUCUUAUUUUGUUUUGAUUGUAGCUUUUUGCAAUUAUCUAUGUACACCUUGUACUUGAUCAUUUGAGCAAUUGAUUACUUGAUCAUAUGAGCAAUUGAUAGUUAAAUUUAAGUGAAAUUUAAUUAAGGAAUGGCUAUUUAUCUUCUUGUGUUUAUGUGGGUUCUAUCUAAAGUGUUAAGUGAUUUUUUUGAUCUUGCAUGUAGGAUGAUGUUGGCGGUAUGAUUAAAUUUAAUGUUUGAAGAGAUCAGGAACUAUAGGCCUAUAAUGUUUGAAAUUUCAGGAUUUGAUUAGUGGAAGAAAUGGUUAGGAACCGCAUGCCUUAUAUGAGUCUAAAUAAGAAAUGAUGGAUUUUACUUCAAAAUAUAAUUGCUGAUAUAAGAUAAAAAGUUUCUGUUUUCUUGACUUUGAUCAUGUGAUUGAUGUUUGCUUAAAAUAUAUGUACCAAAUAUGUGUAUUUGUUGGUUGAUUAAUGAAUUAUAAGGAAAAGGAAUAAUUUCUAAGGAAACAGACACUUGAAAGAGUCUAAUGAUAUCUCAGUGUAACUAGUUUUGUAGCUACUGAUAUGCAUAUCUUAUUUAACUUGUAUAUACUUGCUAAUUUAUGAAAUAUAGUAUGCAUGACUUGAAUUGGUUACUUUUUAUGUUGUGGAUUAGUUGAACAAGGUCCCUUAUCACAUCUUGGUUUAAGUCUGCUACUUGUAUUGAUGAUGAAUUUGGUUGUUGAAAAUAUAUGUCUAAGUGGGAUUUGUUGGGUAGAAGCUUUUUCUGCAGUGAUGGCGCUUUGAUAUCUGGAGUCGCCUUGAAUAUCAUGUUCGGGAAGAAUUGAACAAAACAGCUCCUCGGACAAUGGUUGUCCUGCACAAAACACCUCCUCGGAUAAUAUGUUUCUUUACUACUAUCUAAGUUUCUAUAUUUACCAUUUAUUUAAUAUCUACUUCUUAGCUACUAAUUGAUUUCAUUGCUUGAUUAUUGCCAAAAAUAAGUAACACGAUCUAACGAUAUCUUUAGGAUGGCUCUGUUACAAAUGACGAAGUCAGAAAAGCAAUUCACGCGGUAGAGGAAAGUGUAGUCAAUAGUUGGGAUUUAUGCACAAAAUUUCCUUCGAUCAUGACACCGGAAGCACUAUAAAGUAAAUUUCAUUCAAGAGGAUAUUGAGCUCUUAUAUUCAUGAGAAACAAGAGAGGGGAAAAUUGUUUCAGGCUUGUAAUAAAUACCUACACCAACAAAACACUAUGAGAAGUGCAUAAGGGGCCAAAAAACAUCAUCAGGAGAGUACACAUCAAAAGAAACACCCCUUGUUGCCGAUAAAAUUGUAGUGCUGGUUUUUUCGUGACUAUUGGUUUGUUUCUCUGGCUGGGUUCGGACUUGCUCUUGGUGCUGAGUGCCUCACAGUUUAUUUCUGUGUUUUUUAAUUAAAAGGUCCGAGGACAUCCCUAUGGAAAUAUGGAGAGGAUUGAUUCAACCCAGCGAUUUUAAGAAUGGUCUCUCGAAACCAACUUAUGAGUUAACUGUUAAAGGAGGAGACAAAGUUAAGCAUACAAAUAGAAGGAAUCGAGGUUACAAGUAUAAAUUUGUAACUUUAUGGUUUAUAAUUGAUGAUUCUAGGUAUAUGAUAUUAACUCUACUAUUAUGGAAUGAUUUUAGUAUAUAUAAGUAUAAUUUAUGCUAUUAGGUGUAUGAUACUCUAUUAUUAUAGUACGAUGAUUUUAGUGUAUAAGUAUAAUUUUGUAACUUUAUGUUAUUAAUGGAUGAUUUUGGAUU
Long non-coding RNA from Trifolium pratense (red clover), 3168 nucleotides. RefSeq lists it as uncharacterized. Lineage: Eukaryota; Viridiplantae; Streptophyta; Magnoliopsida; Fabales; Fabaceae. The record is from RefSeq and is a predicted model, not a curated record. The transcript has 7 exons.